This 301-nucleotide ribosomal RNA is filed under the name uncultured archaeon. RNAcentral describes it as "bacterial SSU rRNA". It matches the Rfam family "Archaeal small subunit ribosomal RNA", at positions 325 to 633 of the family's 1478-position model. The record is from RNAcentral.
ACGGGGCGCAGCAGGCGCGAAAUCUUGACAAUACACGAAAGUGUGAUCAGGUUACCCGGAGUGCUACAAUGUAGCUGUGGCAAGUGAGUUAGAUUCCUUGCUAGGAAGGAGAGGGCAAGGCUGGUGCCAGCCGCCGCGGUAAAACCAGCUCUUCAAGUGGUCGGGAUUAUUAUUGGGCUUAAAGUGUCCGUAGCCGGUAUAGUAAGUUCCUGGUUAAAUCGGAUAGCUUAACUAUCUGUUGGCUAGGAAUACUGCUAUACUAGGGGGCGGGAGAGGUCUGAGGUACUCCAGGGGUAGGGGG